CUCAUACAGUUGGCCCAUGGUAGCACUGGUGGGAGGGAUGGUGUUGUUGACAAAGAAGAAUAAGGCGUCCUCAGGUCUCAGGUGGAUUCUCUUCCGGAUUAAGAAGUAGAACUGGCCAACAGUAAGGUCAGAGGGCACUAGGUACUUCCUCUUGUCCAGAUCAGGCACCCUGGCUUUUGGAGCCUUCUCUACAAUCACCUGGAAGAAGAGGAGGAGAGUAGGAAUGAAAACUACAGAAGGCAAUCUAGUAUUUUUCCUUCUACACCCUAGAGUUGCCUAGUUACUACUGGAAAUGAAUCUGUCUAGGCCCAGGACACCUGUUUCAUUUCUUAUCCCCCCACCCC
This 344-nucleotide long non-coding RNA is filed under the name Homo sapiens (human). RNAcentral describes it as "LNC_000900". The record is from RNAcentral. Lineage: Eukaryota; Metazoa; Chordata; Mammalia; Primates; Hominidae.